RNAcentral lists this ribosomal RNA (121 nucleotides) under uncultured cyanobacterium. Its description in RNAcentral is "partial 16S ribosomal RNA". It matches the Rfam family "Bacterial small subunit ribosomal RNA", at positions 1414 to 1533 of the family's 1533-position model. Lineage: Bacteria; Bacillati; Cyanobacteriota. The record is from RNAcentral.
GUCACGCCCGAAGUCGUUACUCCAACCUUCGAGGAGGAGGAUGCCUAAGGCAGGGCUAGUGACUGGCGUGAAGUCGUCACAAGGUAGCCGUACCGGAAGGUGUGGCUGGAUCACCUCCUUA